UGAGUUGACCAGACAAUCGCCGCUUGAACUUUAUGUUUGGGGGGAGGAAAGUCCGGGCUCCAUAGGGUAAGGUGCCAGAUAACGUCUGGGCGGCGUGAGCCGACGACUAGUGCAGCAGAGAGAAGACCGCCUUUUAUAACCUUUGGUAAUAAAAAGGUAAGGGUGAAAGGGUGCGGUAAGAGCGCACCGCGUUGCUGGUAACAGUAAUGGCAAGGUAAACUCCACCUGGAGCAAGACCAAAUAGGUUCCCUAAUGGCGCGACCCGCGUUGGGAACGGGUAGGUUGCUUGAGCUAUUGAGCGAUUGAUAGCCUAGACGAAUGAUUGUCAUUUCCGUAAGGAAAUACAGAACCCGGCUUAUGUGGUCAACUCAGACU
Molecule: RNase P RNA, 375 nt
Filed under: Glaciecola petra
Lineage: Bacteria; Pseudomonadati; Pseudomonadota; Gammaproteobacteria; Alteromonadales; Alteromonadaceae
Description: RNase P RNA component class A
Rfam family: Bacterial RNase P class A
About the family: Ribonuclease P (RNase P) is a ubiquitous endoribonuclease, found in archaea, bacteria and eukarya as well as chloroplasts and mitochondria. Its best characterised activity is the generation of mature 5'-ends of tRNAs by cleaving the 5'-leader elements of precursor-tRNAs. Cellular RNase Ps are ribonucleoproteins.
Source: RNAcentral